This 2364-nucleotide small RNA is filed under the name Pongo abelii (Sumatran orangutan). RNAcentral's name for it is "processed transcript". Lineage: Eukaryota; Metazoa; Chordata; Mammalia; Primates; Hominidae. The record is from RNAcentral.
CUGUCUGCCAAGUGCUUCAUUCUGGGCCCUGGGGAACUCUCCCUCCGCGGUGGGGCUGCUUUGUGCUGUAAACUGAUCCUGGGCGUCCAGGGUGGCUUGGUUGGUGCAGCAGAGAGGCAAGGGGCAGAGCACUGUGCCCCCAGCUAAGGGCAGCGCGGGUCACCUGGGCACCCUAGGCAGGAUCUUCAAGGAGAGAGGGACUCAGGGAGGGAGAGUGCCAGGGAGGGAGGCAGGCAGGAAGAGAGCGGGAGGAGAGGGAGGCCUGACCUGGUCUGGCGUUUUAUGGGGUUUCGGGGGGUGCAUCAGGGGCUGGGUGAGUUGGAGCCGGAGGUCUAAGGUGAGGACCUGGGAGCCCAGACCAGAGCAGCCAGGGGAGGGGCGGCCAAGGGCUGUCUGUCUGUCCGGGGAAGCUUGGGUUGCAUCCUCGUGGAGACAAACAAGUUGGCACCAAGGCGAGGCUACUUGCAGCCGGAUCACUCUCUAUGAAGGCAAGCACUUCAUGGGGCGGAAGCUGGAGGUCUUCGGGGACUGUGACAACUUCCAGGACUGGGGCUUUAUGAACCGAGUGAACACCAUCCGCGUGGAGAGCGGAGCCUGGGUCUGCUUCGAUCACCCCGACUUCCGGGGCCAGCAAUUCAUCUUGGAGCACGGCGACUACCCCGACUUCUUCCGCUGGAACAGCCGCAGUGACCACAUGGGCUCCUGUCGGCCUUAGGAAUGGUGAGUGGGACCGUCCACCGAGGGCUGAGUCUUCCUGCUGGAGGGACCGAGGAUCGGCCCUGGCAGACAGUGGCAAGGAAUCGGGGAGCGUGGGCCUCCCGGCUUUAAAGUCUGUAAGACUGAGGGAGCUAUACCCAGAGCCACCUGCUGGCAUGAGCACGGGGAACAUUUCCGCCUAGAAAUCUUCGAGGGUUGCAACUUCACGGGCCAGUGCCUGGAGUUCCUGGAGGACAGCCCCUUCCUCCAGAGCAGGGGCUGGGCCAGGACCUGCGUGAAUGCCAUCAAGGUGUACCGGGACAGAGCAGCAUGGAGCCCUAGAAGCUUCGGAGCUGAGGACUUCCAGCUGAGCAGCUCUCUUCAAUCAAAUCAAGGACCAGAAGAGGCCACCGCAAAACCAGCAACAACCCAGCCACCUUUCCUGCUGCAAGCCUCUGAGCCUGGAACUGAUCGACAUGUAAAUGCACCUGCACUGUUUCUGAGCUGGGAGAGUGUUUACUUAAGAUCAUGCCCUCAGUUUUCAUUUCUCUGCCAGUUUGUUAGGGAGGUGGAGCCUUCUGUGUGGCAUAUCUGCCAGCGGGAGGCCCUCCCCACCCAUGGCAAGGGCCCUGUCUCUUCUGAAACAGCCGUCCAACCCUCCACCCCACAGCCUCCUUGGGCCUUGGCACCCUGCUGGCCUCAGGCCUCCACAAUCUCACACCUCUUAGCCCACAACUGAUGAUGGUGAUGAUGUUGAUGAGUAUUUAUGGAGCACUGACUUUAUGCCAGGCUCUGUAGUAGCUGGAAUCUGUGUAAUUUUACUUAUCACAUACAAUAAUUCCAAGAUGAUGAUAUGCUUAUCACCACUGUACAGAAGAGGACAGCUAGACACAGACAGGUUAAGCAACUUGCCCAGGGUCACACAGCAGUCAGGACUAAAACACAGGUCUGGCUGGCCGAUUGAUCCUUUUUCACUCCUCUAUAGUGCACCACACAUUUGCAUAUUUAGAUAUAUUUUUGUCAUAAAUUUGGCGCAAACCCAAAGCCUCUCCAGGCCUCAGACCCUGCUCUGUGAAAUGAGCACAAUCAUGUCUGUUGUACCAACUGUAUACCCUUGUAAAAGCCAAAGGCGUGACCCAUGAGCGGGUGCCAUAUGAGGGCUGGUUAGUAGUAGGUGACCCAGUAGGUGACGGGGUGGGGAAGCAGGCAGGGGAGUGGCAUCACAGGAGAGAAGGUAACUUGGCUCCAAACUCCAACCUGAUUCCCACUCCAUCCCUCACUAGGAUGUGACAUUGGAGAAGCCACUGCUGUGUGUCUCAGUGUCUUCAGACAUACAGCAGUGGUAAUCAUUCUGCCCCCUCAUAGGCAAUUAAUGCCUGGGGAAUGAAAUGAGAACUGCAGGCCCCACCGGUUCAGUCCAGGUCCUUGGGAGUCACGGGAAGAACCAGGCCUAGCAGCCCUUCCCAUGAGUUCCAGAGGCUUCCCCUGAACUCUUCCUUUCCUCCCCAGCACCAAGGCGUAGCAGCACCUCAUUAACUGGUGAUUUAAUGCUUCUCGAAUGGGCUUUGUGCUCCUGGGUGACCUCCCCCUCACCCCAGCCCCCUGCUCCCUAAUCUGUCAGCAAAUCUGCUUUUUGUCUGAAAGAGGAAAAACAAGAUUCCCACCAAA